UCGCCAAAACAAGCGCACAGAUGGUCGUU
RNAcentral lists this small RNA (29 nucleotides) under Bombyx mori (domestic silkworm). RNAcentral's name for it is "piRNA piR-bmo-1617380". The record is from RNAcentral. Lineage: Eukaryota; Metazoa; Arthropoda; Insecta; Lepidoptera; Bombycidae.